This 270-nucleotide ribosomal RNA is filed under the name uncultured bacterium. RNAcentral's name for it is "partial 16S ribosomal RNA". It matches the Rfam family "Bacterial small subunit ribosomal RNA", at positions 28 to 295 of the family's 1533-position model. The record is from RNAcentral.
GAUGAACGCUAGCGGGAGGCCUAAUACAUGCAAGUCGAACGGUAACAUGGGUAGCAAUACCUGAUGACGAGUGGCGCACGGGUGCGUAACGCGUACACAAUCUGCCUUAUACUGGAGAAUAGCCUCGAGAAAUUGAGAUUAACUCUCCAUAACGUUGCAAAAUGGCAUCAUUUAGCAACUAAAACUCCGGUGGUAUAAGAUGAGUGUGCGUCCGAUUAGCUAGUUGGUGGGGUAAAGGCUCACCAAGGCAACGAUCGGUAGCUGGUCUGA